CUGGAGAGUGGCGCACGGGUGAGUAACGCGUGGGGACCUACCUCUUAGUGGGGGAUAACGGUUGGAAACGACCGCUAAUACCGCAUACGCCCUUCGGGGGAAAGAUUUAUCGCUAAGAGAUGGACCCGCGUUGGAUUAGAUAGUUGGUGAGGUAACGGCUCACCAAGUCAGCGAUCCAUAGCUGGUUUGAGAGGAUGAUCAGCCACACUGGGACUGAGACACGGCCCAGACUCCUACGGGAGGCAGCAGUGGGGAAUAUUGGACAAUGGGGGCAACCCUGAUCCAGCCAUGCCGCGUGAGUGAAGAAGGCCUUCGGGUUGUAAAGCUCUUUCAGAUGCGAAGAUGAUGACGGUAACAUCAGAAGAAGCCCCGGCUAAUUUCGUGCCAGCAGCCGCGGUAAUACGAAAGGGGCUAGCGUUGUUCGGAUUUACUGGGCGUAAAGGGCACGCAGGCGGUCUUGCCAGUCAGGGGUGAAAGCCCGGGGCUCAACCCCGGAACUGCCUCUGAUACUGCA
RNAcentral lists this ribosomal RNA (514 nucleotides) under marine sediment bacterium BB0608_AND_6.2_8G0. Its description in RNAcentral is "bacterial SSU rRNA". It matches the Rfam family "Bacterial small subunit ribosomal RNA", at positions 88 to 637 of the family's 1533-position model. The record is from RNAcentral.